UGGGGAAUCUUAGGCAAUGGGGGAAACCCUGACCUAGCCAUGCCGCGUGGAGGAAGACACCCCUAUGGGGCGUAAACUCCUUUUCUGCCGGAAGAAAACCCUGUUUUGCAGGGCGUGACGGUACGGCAGGAAUAAGCACCGGCUAACUCCGUGCCAGCAGCCGCGGUAAUACGGAGGGUGCAAGCGUUGUCCGGAAUCACUGGGCGUAAAGGGUGUGUAGGUGGGAUAGCAAGUCAGAGGUGAAAGCCUGCGGCUUAACCGUAGAAGUGCCUUUGAAACUGCUAUUCUUGAGUCCCGGAGAGGUUGUUGGAAUUCGUGGUGUAGCGGUGAAAUGCGUAGAUAUCACGAGGAACACCAGAGGCGUAAGCGAACAACUGGACGGGUACUGACGCUGAGGCACGAGAGCGUGGGGAGCAAACA
RNAcentral lists this ribosomal RNA (420 nucleotides) under uncultured bacterium. RNAcentral describes it as "bacterial SSU rRNA". It matches the Rfam family "Bacterial small subunit ribosomal RNA", at positions 355 to 774 of the family's 1533-position model. The record is from RNAcentral.